UGGGGAAUUUUGGACAAUGGGCGCAAGCCUGAUCCAGCAAUGCCGCGUGCAGGAUGAAGGCCUUCGGGUUGUAAACUGCUUUUGUACGGAACGAAAAAGCUCUCUCUAAUACAGGGGGUGAAUGACGGUACCGUAAGAAUAAGCACCGGCUAACUACGUGCCAGCAGCCGCGGUAAUACGUAGGGUGCAAGCGUUAAUCGGAAUUACUGGGCGUAAAGCGUGCGCAGGCGGUUUUGUAAGACAGAGGUGAAAUCCCCGGGCUCAACCUGGGAACUGCCUUUGUGACUGCAAAGCUGGAGUGCGGCAGAGGGUGAUGGAAUUCCGCGUGUAGCAGUGAAAUGCGUAGAUAUGCGGAGGAACACCGAUGGCGAAGGCAAUCCCCUGGGCCUGCACCGACGCUCAUGCACGAAAGCGUGGGGAGCAAACA
RNAcentral lists this ribosomal RNA (427 nucleotides) under uncultured bacterium. Its description in RNAcentral is "bacterial SSU rRNA". It matches the Rfam family "Bacterial small subunit ribosomal RNA", at positions 355 to 774 of the family's 1533-position model. The record is from RNAcentral.